Molecule: transfer RNA, 76 nt
Filed under: Clostridium tetani
Lineage: Bacteria; Bacillati; Bacillota; Clostridia; Eubacteriales; Clostridiaceae
Description: tRNA-Asn
Rfam family: tRNA
About the family: Transfer RNA (tRNA) molecules are approximately 80 nucleotides in length.
Source: RNAcentral
GAUCCACUAGCUCAGUCGGUAGAGCACAUGACUAUUAAUCAUGGUGUCCAGGGUUCGACUCCCUGAUGGCGCACCA